RNAcentral lists this ribosomal RNA (270 nucleotides) under uncultured bacterium. RNAcentral describes it as "partial 16S ribosomal RNA". It matches the Rfam family "Bacterial small subunit ribosomal RNA", at positions 793 to 1055 of the family's 1533-position model. The record is from RNAcentral.
GUCCACGCGGUAAACGAUGGGCACUAGGUGUGGGGGGUAUCCACUCCUCCCGUGCCGAAGCUAACGCAUUAAGUGCCCCGCCUGGGGAGUACGGCCGCAAGGUUAAAACUCAAAGGAAUUGACGGGGGCCCGCACAAGCGGUGGAGCAUGUGGUUUAAUUCGACGCAACGCGAAGAACCUUACCUGGGCUUGACAUCCCGGGAACCUCCUGGAAACAGGGGGGUGCCCCCGAAAGGGGGAGCCCGGAGACAGGUGCUGCAUGGCUGUCGU